UUUAAAAUAAAUACUUUGAUGACUUGCUGUUGGUUAAGUUAAACAUUUUGGUAUGAAGACUAUCACUGAGUUCUUACUAAACACUAAAAUACUCUUAUUUUUAAACAAAACAAGUAUACAUGUAUUACUAUAAAAUGCAUGUUUCCACAGACUAGAAUUUAAUGAAACUUUUGAAUAUCAUUCAUUUACUCUGGAAUUUGGAAUUCUCUUCAGCUUAAAUGAUUCAAUUGCAACUACUAAAAUCUCCAUAUGCAUAUUUUUCAUGUAAUUUAUUGUCUAAUUCUCAUUUUAAAACCUAUUUUAUUUCUUCAUAUUUCAUAUAUACAUUCAUUUGUGCCUGUCUGUUGAAAAGUAAUAUCUUUUUACAUUCUUAAAAAUUUCAGCUAGUUUAUAAUAAGUCUUUACAACAGUGAUUCUUUUCACAGUAGUUCAAGAGUUCAAGGCAUGUUUUGCAAUGUCAAAAUGCAAUGGUUUUGACAUUUGUAAUAAGUUCUUAGGUAUAAGAAAAGUCACACUACCAAAAGAAAAGUAUAAUUAGUAUUAGUACUUUGAAAGUCAAUCCAAAAUUCCUUUUUUUUUUGAGAUGUGAAUCUAAUUUUCUGUUUUUAGGACAUCUUAAAACGUGAAACACAGAUUAAGUUUGAAUAAUUUUCUCUAGUGUAGGAUCAGAAGAGUAUAAGAACUUAACACUAAUCACUGUGGAAAUGAACUAGAGUUUAAUAUUUUGUCUAAAAUAAUCUUACUUUAUAUAAAGAGAAAAAAUUAUUGGAUUUUUAAAAAUAUUCAGCUACUUAUAUUUAGCCUAUUGGAAGAAAUGGAGAUAUAGGUAAGUCACACUCUAAUCCUGCACUAGUUAGAAUUUAGGCAAGUAAUUGCCUUUUUAAAGGCAAAAUGAGUGAAUAGAUUUGGGCGUUGAAUAAAAACUCAGUGGAGAUAUAAAAAUUAGGAUCCCUGUGUCUUGCUGCCUAUUUUCUGGGUUGAAAAAUUAAGUCAAAAGGAUAAACAUGCAAUCUCUUUUGCUCUCUUGGGAAUGUAGCAUGAAAAUUUAAAGUAUUUUUUCCAAGUUCUCUGUUUAAUUUGCAGAUGUCAGAAACCAUUUUGAAAUUUAGGUCUCAUUUUCUGAAGAUGUAUAAGCAGGCCCAUUUCUGAAGAUACAUAAGCUAAUACGGUACAUUUCUGUAAAAUAUAAAAAUAUUUCUGAGUUGAAGAGCCAAUUGCAGGUUGGAGUUCAACCCCUGCUGCUGCUGCUGCUGCUAAGUCGCUUCAGUCGUGUCCGACUCUGUGCGACCCCAUAGACGGCAGCCCACGAGGCUCCCCCAUCUCUGGGAUUCUCCAGGCAAGAAACACUAGAGUGGGUUGCCAUUUCCUUCUCCCUGCAGACACUCAGUGUGGGGCUAAUUUCCUUAAUGCAGUCAGAUUCUUAAUGGCCAGGCUAAUACUCAGGUUCCUCUACUCCCGCGUAAAAAUCUAUCAGUUAAAACAGUUAGAUAUGGAGAGAAAAACUUCUUCUAAAAUAACAUUGACAAAUGAUAAGAAAAUAUAAUCAUAUUUGAAAAUAUUAAAAUCUAGGAUGAGAUAGAGCUCAUACUCUCCCAACUAUUGUAUUAAUCUAUGACUGAAUUAAAAAGUAUCUUGGAAGUUAUAUUAAUAGAGGGAUUUUUCAAUGGGGAUUACUAACUAAUUUCAAAAUAAUAUUAUAUCCCAAACCAUAUGGCAUAAUGGCUUAAUUUUAAAAGAUGGUCAAAGCAAAACAAAGCAAUAGUAUGAAGUAUAGCAGAAAGUAAUUAAGCAAUCACAUUAUGGGACAUAUAUUUCUCAUUCUCUGUCCACACCACUAUCUCUUAAGUGGAAUUUAUCAUUAAGGCAAAAGUAGACAUUUGUUGUAUGUUAACUAAAAGCUAAAAUUUAACUAGACUGCUAGUCUUUUUAAAAUUUAAAAGAAAGUCUUCUCUGCCAUUAACAAAUACAUUCUUCACAAGGCCAAAUGAAAAAUUGCCAGAAAAGGCAUGAGAUGAAAGUCCUCAUAUGUGGAUACGGGAAAUUAAAGUCUUGUUAGGAG
This is a long non-coding RNA of Bos taurus (domestic cattle), 2059 nucleotides long. Lineage: Eukaryota; Metazoa; Chordata; Mammalia; Artiodactyla; Bovidae. The record is from Ensembl.